Molecule: long non-coding RNA, 856 nt
Filed under: Anas platyrhynchos platyrhynchos (common mallard)
Lineage: Eukaryota; Metazoa; Chordata; Aves; Anseriformes; Anatidae
Description: lncRNA (ENSAPLG00000019527.1)
Source: RNAcentral
UAAACCCGUCUCUUUGGUCCCUGCCUUCUUGCAGCAUUCACAGUUCCUAUCUGGCUUGCUUGCUUGCCUGCUUGCCUAGUGUGUUGCUGAACCCUCAAGAGGGUUAAGAAGCAGUGCCAUCCUCAGACCUGGGCUGAGAGCCAGAAAAAGCAACGCAGCAAUGGUGUUAACUCUCCAAGGCAGAAUCAGUCCUGUGUUUGAGAUUUCUUUCUCUAUAACCUGGACAAGAAAGAGAUGUUAAAAGCUAAGUAAAUGAUAAAUACUGAAGGUGCAUUAAAUUGUCAGUGAGUUACUGAACUCGGGUACCCAGCUGGCUUGUCAGAAGCUCAAGAUGCAGUUGUGUGUUCUUACGGUGGGCAGACUGCCUAAUGGAAGCUUGACCUGAGCCCUGUCCUGCCCCCGUGCUUUUUGCAGUGACUAUAUCUAAAUUGCUGUUUUCUGUCAUGAUUGCAGAACUGCCCUCUCCAGGCUUCCUUCCUGACGCAGGAGCAUCAUGUCCUACUGGCUGUGCCCACCACACUCAGCACCUCUGUGCAUUGAAUUUAGAGCUUGGCAAAGGACAAAUUCAGAGAGCAGCCUGAAAGAACUAUUCAGACAGCUUGGAGAGGAUGUCUGGCUGAUAUGUUCUUAGGGAGCUGAAGCGUUGGUCCCACAGUAAGUAUAGUUACCUCCACAGCACCUUGUAUUUAAAAUUCAUGGCUACCCAGAGCAAUCACUAUCAGAAAACCUGUGCUGUGCCCAUCUCUGUGUGUGGUAUUUGCACACCUCCCACCAGCUGGAAGGAAUUUUCAGUACUGGAUGAGCUUGCACUUCUCUGAGAAGUGAUGCCCGUUAUCAAGUAUACCUCAUCUUUUUA